CGACGCACAGGCUCUCAGAGCCCACGGUCGGCCCGGCGCCGUGGAGCGGAAUUAAAAGCAUGCGGGCAGAGUUCCUGCCCGAGUACGAAACAGGGAGCGCCGGCCACUGGACGCAUGCGCAUAGCAGCCUGCGGGCCUCAUUCUGCGCAGGCGCGGGGUCGUUCCUUAGCACCUCUGAAGCAUCUGGUCCCUCCCGCGUCUGAGUUUGUCAAGCCGCGCCAGACCCGAGUCUCGCGGCCUGAGCGUCUCCCGGGUGACACAGGUAAGCGGCGCCCGCACUGUGCGGCUGGGCCUGUGCCGGAGCCCACCCACACCUCCCGCGGCACAGUCCCGCCUUCCACUGCUGUCGCGGCAGAGUGGCCGAGGCCGUGGAGCAGACCCACCAGGAGCCAGAUGAGCGGAGAGGUCUGCGUGCACACCUGGCCGUGCUCCUACUACUUAGAGCUGGACAAGCGAUGGGUCCCUGGAAAGCUUUCCUUAACCUCCUGCUCCCUGAAGUUUGCGGCUGAUGAGGCCCAGGAGACGCUGGUGAGUUUCCCGCUGUCUGGCAUCACUGCGAUCAAGAAGGAGGCUUCUCACUUCGUCUUCAGCUCCAUCACUGUCCUGGAGAAGGACAACCGCAAGCACUGGUUCGGCUCCCUGCAGCCCAGUCGCAAUGCUGCAUUCAGUGUCAUCGAGCAUUUCUGGAGAGAGCUGCUGCUCUCCCAGCCGGAAGCACCGCUUCCUGCGACCAAGGGGAAGGAGCUGACUGGCCUCAUGGCCUGUUCCCAGAAGCGCCUGGAGGACACGGCCAGAGUCCUCCACCAUCAGGGCGAGCAGCUGGACAGCAUCACCAGGGGCCUGAACAAGAUGGAAUCCGACCUGGACGUGGCUGACAGCAGCCUGUUGCUUCAUGGGCACGCUGACCUCUGUGUCUUGGGGUUUUCUGGAGAGCCAUGUGCGGAAAGGACUUGGGUGUGUGUCCCAGCUCAGGAGAGGAGUUUGCUCCCCUCCCCUGCUCCCAGCUCACCUCCCGCCCUUCAGCUGAACCACAUGCGAGCUGGCCAGGCUCCCUGUCGCCAGCUCCCUCCUGACACAUGGCUUAGACCUCCUGCUUGUGGGGUGAGGUUGCUGACAGAGCUGGAGUCACCUUCCUGGUGGCCCUUUAGCUCCAAGCUUUGGAAAAUGCCAUCAGAAACAAAGCUUAAGGGAGACGCUUCAACGGCUAGUCCCAAAGCUCUUGGGAAGGAAGGGGUAGUGGUCAGAAUUCCUGCUGUUGUCUCCCAGAGAACAGCAUCCCAUGUCAAACCAGGGAGUCUCACCGUCCUAGUGUCUGGACUGGAAAUCCAUGAUUCGAGUUCUGCGCUCAUGCACAGGUUCGAAAGAGAAGACGUGGAUGACAUUAAGGUUCACACACCCUAUGAGAUCAGCAUCCGCCAGCGGUUUAUUGGGAAGCCUGACAUAGCCUAUCACUUGAUAUCUGCCAGGAUGCCAGAGGCCAUCCCCGUUUUGGAGGUGCAGUUCAGCAAAAAGAUGGAGGUGUUAGGAGACGCCCUGACACCCAGCAGCACCAAAACCUCCUCCCCAGCAGAGAAGGGCUGCUCCAUGUGGCACACAGCGUCUGGGCUGAUGGACCGGGCCGUGCACCACGAGCCCUGCCCAGGCAGCCAGGAUGGCCAGCCACUCCAGCUGCAGACGACCCAGCCGUUCAUUUCCGAGGGGGACGCCCAGGAACUGAGACAGAUCCUGAGGAAACUCAAAGGUCUUGCCCUGGACACCGAGGCAGAGCUGGAGAGGCAGGACGAGGCCCUGGAUGACAUCACCGCCGCCGUGGACCGGACCACCCUAACCAUCGACAAGCACAAUCGGAGGGCAAAGAAACUGACUUAGAGGGACAAGAAAGCAUGACAGUCACUUCCCUGAGUGCUUUGUUCUCAACACCUGCACGCUUCCUUGACCAGAAAGCCCGGGAAGUUGGGUCCAGGGCUAGGCGGUACCUGGACGCCUUGCCCUGGGAGGUGCAGGCCUGCCUGGGCUGUAGGGGCCUGGCUCCCUGUGCACUGUGAUGCUGACCAUGGCCCCCAGGGGGGAGGAGAAGCUCCAGGAGGCCUGCACCCCCAUGGUGGCCCCAGCUCCUCUUGCUCCCACCUGUCCUGGGCCCUGAUUCCCUGCUCCCUACCCUUACUCCCCUCACUCCUCCCCCCCACUCUCCCCCUUCUCCCCCCUCUCUCCUCCCCCCACUGCCCCCUGCUCCCCCCCACCCCACUCCCUGCCCUCCCUCCCCAUUCCUCCUCCCUGCAGGGCUCCCCCCUACCCACUCCCCCCUCCUUGCAGGCCACUCCCCUUUCAUACUUGAGCCCCUUGGAGCCUGGAGAGCAGCUGGAAGCUGACCCCAGUGCUCAAGGCUGCUUUGCAUGGCCAGCAGCACAGCUAGCGGAGUCUUCAUUGUUUCUCUGUCCUUGCUUGGUGCAAAAGGGCAAUUUAAGUCUCUGGUAAAGAAGUCUGCUGAUUUUUGACUCUGCCCCCCUAACUCUGUGUGCUAUGUGAGCAGAGCCCCUUCUGCAGGACCACAUUCAGGCCCGAGACCCCCCCCCCCCUCUCUGGGCCACUGUGCGUGGGCCCCAGUGCCCUCAGUCUGUCCUUCUCUGGGGACAGGCCAGUUCCUUCCUGGUUGUGCUGUGAUUUUCUACCCGAAGUCUAGUACAUCUGGAGGUCAUCCUAUAAACACCUGAAAUGUUCCCCUGCCCAGUUUUUAGCCAAGUGUGAAAAUAAUACAUAUUGCACCUAUUUUAAAAAGUGUCGAUUUUUUCUUUAGGUGCCCCAUUUCUGCCCAGAAAUAGAAGAGAUUCCGUAGUUUUAGAAUGUAUUUUGAAGAUACAUGUUGAUGCUGCUUUCUGCUUGGGAUCCCAGUGGGAGGGCCCCUCAGGAAAGGAUGGGGGCAGAGUGUGGAAGUGGGUGAGCCCUUCUCUCACAGGCUGGGCCACCUGCAGACUGCUUUGGAAUAGGCUCUCCUGUGGCUGUCCUCUGACUGUGCAGGUAUAGUGCUAAUUUUCUGGGGCUGCUAAUGAAGUACAAGUGGGGGGCCUAGGACAGCAGGCUUUGUUCUCUCCCAGGUCUGGAGGCCAGGAGACUGAGGUCAAGGUGUCACAGGGCCAUGCUUCCUCUGAAGGCUCCAGGAGGAUCUCUCCUGCCUCUCCUGACUGCCAGAGCCUCAGGAGUUCUGGGGUCAUGGCCGUGUCUCCCCAGUCUCUGCCUCCAUCACCAAAUGGCUGACUGAAAUUCCCCCUCCCUUGUCUCAUAAGGACACCUGUCACUGACUCAGGACCUGCCCUGAUCCAGGGCUAGCUUUUGCAUAAUGUGGCCAUUUCUGCUAAUGUCGCAUUCCAGUUCAGUGUGGAUGUGAAUUUGGGGUCACCUAGGAGUGCGCAAAUUUCUGGAAGCUUGCUUGUUCAAGAAGACACAGGAAGUAGCACGUCUAGAAAAUAACCUUCAUGGGUAUCUUCUGGUUCUUGUUACUUUGGUGAGAUAUAGUCCUCAUCUCUGUCUACUUUAUUUGACCUGUCCCUACCAACCUCCAGAAUGACAAGUGGGCCUGUGCUUUCAGGGCCGCCAGUCUGAUGCUGGCGUGUGAGUGAGUGCCCCAGCACUUUUCUGGCACUGUGAGAUUGGAGUUCUCAGCCCCAGAAGCUCCUUCUUCUCAGGCUCAGUGCUGGGGAGGACAAGGAGGGCACAGCAGAUGUGUACGUGUGUCAACAGGACAGUUAUUGAGAGCUUCUGCUGUGCCCAGAUGCAGUGGCGGGAUCGUGUCCUGUGGAGCUUGGAGUGAGGUGGGAGGAUGCAGUUCGUGCCCUGGGCCCUGGGCAUGUGCAGGUAGGCAGGCUGCCCUAACUCCAGAAGCUUCAGUUCCUGCAACAGCCCAUGAGGAAUGAGGUUCCUAGAGGUGGAGCAUGUGGUUCUCUGUGACAGCUGAACUCCAGACUCACACCAGGAACUCAGAGUGCACACACGUGUGCAUACACACAUGGACUUGCAUGUGCGCACACACACAUGCUGACCCCAGGCUCCUCAAAACUCCGUGGGUAUCUGUGCAUCUCACAUCAGCAGUCAGAGGAAGAGCCACAGGCCAGGUGACUUCUGCCAUCAAGAGCCCUGAAGUCGGAAGGAAAGCAAACCUGUCCCACCCUUAGCCUGCUAGGGCGGUCCUGCCAGCAUCCGCUCAUGCUGGAGACAACCACUGCCCUUCAACUCCUGGCAGCUGGGCUGCACAGACUUCUGCAACUGACAGUACUCAAAGCAGGGCCAGGACUCCCGGUGAGUUCUCCAGAACUAGCCUCUCCUUUUCCAGCACCUGGAGAUGCUUGAGACCCCAAGCACCAGCAAGGUAUGUGGCACUGAAGACAACUGGAGCGUUAGGGCAUUAUCUCUGGGCCAUUCUCUCCUGUGAAUACAUAAAUUGAUGGAGACAACAGUUCUCUGCAGAAUUAGACUGUUAAAAAAAAAAAAAAAAAGGUACAUCAGGAUCAUUUUAUGCUACUUAUUAAGCUUGACCCCAGAGUUAACUUUUUCAUCUUACACACUUCCACUAGCAAAACUCCAUUGCCAAAUCAGGCUGGAACCUAAGCACAGACACCUACCUGUUUAACCACUGGACUCCAAGGCACAGGCCAACCCUAACUAUGAAGGGCAACCUAAAAGGCCAGCCCUUUUCAAAAAUCCCUAUGAAACCAGGCAGUAAUUCCAACACCAGUUACUCCUAAUCCCAGGUGCUCUAACUCCACCCCCACAGGUCCCACCCCAGAUGCCCUGACUCUACUCCCCACCUCUCCCCUCCCCUGGUGUCCUUACUCCACCCCUUCUGCUCCCCUCCCGAGGUGCUCUGACUCUAAUCCCAACCUCUCCCCUCCCCUGGUGCCCUGACUCCACCCCCACAGGUCCCACCCCAGAUGCCCUGACUCUCCUCCCCACCUCUCCCCUCCCCUGGUGCCCUGACUCCACCCCCACAGCUCCCCUCCCCAGGUGCCCUGACUCUACUCCCCACCUCUCCCCUCCCCUGGUGUCCUAACUCCACCCCUUCUGCUCCCCUCCCGAGGUGCUCUGACUCCACCCCCACUGCUCCCAUCCCCUGGUGCCCUAACUCCAGCCCCCACUGCUCCCUAGUCUGGAUGGACUGGCCAUGCCCCACUUUUUGGACUCAGAGGACAUAACUGGGACUGGACACUGAGUUGCUUCUGGAAGCUGGACCAGGGAAAGCAGGUGAAUAGUCAGGUGGUGAUCUCUUUGGCCAUCUUCAGGCAGCCCAGGUGUUGGUGUGAUGGCUGGAGCCCAGUUCUUUGCAUCAGGUGAGGAGAUGCUCUGGAGGGUGUCAUGAGGACCCCACUGACGCUUAGCAGUGGCAGCGGGCUGUUGGCAAUGGGGCCUGUGGUGUCCACCCUGUUUUCUGCUUUCCUGAUGUGGGCCUUGACCCCUGACACUGACGUUCAGUCCAUUUGUGGGGUUGAGGUCACCCAUGUGCUUUAUUUCUGCACCAAAAUAUUAGUGUUUGCCCUUUAACUGACAAUUGGGGCUGGACUAUAUUGGUUUGUUGUCACCCUGGGAGGUGUUUGCACUUCCUAAAACACAAAAUGCUCUGAGUCCAGUUUUACUCCAUAUAAAGGUGGGCAAAACGCAAGACCCUUGCAGCUAUGGCACCAACUUCACGCUGACAUGAAACUGCUUUCACAUCUCAUCAAAAACAAUUGACUCUGGAACAAAACAACCCUGAGUUAAUUGGUCUGUUUCAGGCACAGGUGGGUUUUGUAUAAAAGGCCCAGAAGUAACUACUUCAUCUUGAGCCAUGUGACGCAUAUCACAAUGUCCGGGCUGUGCUACUUACAAGAGAGCGUCCAGGACUUGUGCGCAAAUGGGCUUGAUGUGUUCAGAUAAAACUGUGACAUUACAGUGUCAUUUAUUUCAUGUGUCA
Molecule: RNA transcript, 5938 nt
Organism: Neofelis nebulosa (Clouded leopard)
Lineage: Eukaryota; Metazoa; Chordata; Mammalia; Carnivora; Felidae
Gene: SNAP47
Gene name: synaptosome associated protein 47
Exons: 7
Source: RefSeq, a predicted model, not a curated record